UACGGGGGGGGCAAGCGUUGUUCGGAAUUACUGGGCGUAAAGGGCUCGUAGGCGGCCAACUAAGUCAGACGUGAAAUCCCUCGGCUUAACCGGGGAACUGCGUCUGAUACUGGAUGGCUUGAGUUUGGGAGAGGGACGCGGAAUUCCAGGUGUAGAGGUGAAAUUCGUAGAUAUUCGCAAGAACACCAGUGGCGAAGGCGGCUCACUGGCCCGGUACUGACGCUGAGGUGCGAAAGCGUGGGGAGCAAACAGG
RNAcentral lists this ribosomal RNA (253 nucleotides) under uncultured bacterium. RNAcentral's name for it is "partial 16S ribosomal RNA". It matches the Rfam family "Bacterial small subunit ribosomal RNA", at positions 524 to 776 of the family's 1533-position model. The record is from RNAcentral.